This 253-nucleotide ribosomal RNA is filed under the name uncultured bacterium. RNAcentral describes it as "partial 16S ribosomal RNA". It matches the Rfam family "Bacterial small subunit ribosomal RNA", at positions 524 to 776 of the family's 1533-position model. The record is from RNAcentral.
UACGGAGGGUGCAAGCGUUGUUCGGAUUUAUUGGGCGUAAAGCGCGUGUAGGCGGUUUCUUAAGUCUGAUGUGAAAGCCCCGGGCUCAACCCGGGAAGUGCAUUGGAUACUGGGAGACUUGAAUACGGGAGAGGGUAGUGGAAUUCCUAGUGUAGGAGUGAAAUCCGUAGAUAUCGAGAGGAACACCGGUGGCGAAGGCGGCUAUCUGGACAGUGACUGACGCUGAGACGCGAAAGCGUGGGGAGCAAACAGG